RNAcentral lists this ribosomal RNA (728 nucleotides) under uncultured Acidobacteriota bacterium. RNAcentral describes it as "bacterial SSU rRNA". It matches the Rfam family "Bacterial small subunit ribosomal RNA", at positions 94 to 803 of the family's 1533-position model. Lineage: Bacteria; Pseudomonadati; Acidobacteriota. The record is from RNAcentral.
AGUGGCAAACGGGUGAGUAACACGUGGGUGACCUACCUUCGAGUGGGGGAUAACGUCCCGAAAGGGACGCUAAUACCGCAUAACAUCCUGUUCUUGAACGGAUGGAAAUCAAAGCCGGGGAUCGCAAGACCUGGCGCUUGAAGAGGGGCCCGCGUCUGAUUAGCUAGUUGGUGAGGUAACGGCCCACCAAGGCAACGAUCAGUAUCCGGCCUGAGGGGGCGGACGGACACACUGGGACUGAGACACGGCCCAGACUCCUACGGGAGGCAGCAGUGGGGAAUUGUUCGCAAUGGGCGCAAGCCUGAUGACGCAACGCCGCGUGGAGGAUGAAGGUCUUCGGAUUGUAAACUCCUGUUGCUCGGGACGAAGAGCCUCGACCUAACACGUCGAGGUCUGACGGUACCGAGUGAGGAAGCCCCGGCUAACUCUGUGCCAGCAGCCGCGGUAAUACAGAGGGGGCAAGCGUUGUUCGGAAUUACUGGGCGUAAGGGGCGCGUAGGCGGCCCGCUAAGUCGAACGUGAAAUCCCCGAGCUCAACUCGGGAACUGCGUCCGAUACUGGCGGGCUUGAAUCCGGGAGAGGGAUGCGGAAUUCCAGGUGUAGCGGUGAAAUGCGUAGAUAUCUGGAGGAACACCGGUGGCGAAGGCGGCAUCCUGGACCGGCAUUGACGCUGAGGCGCGAAAGCUAGGGGAGCAAACGGGAUUAGAUACCCCGGUAGUCCUAGCCCU